UCUUGGAGAUAAGCUCUUAAACAAAAAGUACCAGCCAACUAGACCAACAACUCUUGAUCUAUCAUAUGAAAAUUGAAUGCGUGAUCCUGAUCGGUAAAAUAGACUGGUGCCAAACAACUCAUCUAGAGGUUCUUUAGUCGUGCAUGAAUUUUUCUGAAACGUAUAUUCCAAAAAUAAUGACACAAAAGAAAUAUUAUGAAAAAUAAUAGUAGAUAUUUAUUUAUAAAAUACAUCUUUCCUAUUUAUGAUUUGAUAGG
Molecule: long non-coding RNA, 257 nt
Filed under: Elaeis guineensis (African oil palm)
Lineage: Eukaryota; Viridiplantae; Streptophyta; Magnoliopsida; Arecales; Arecaceae
Description: long non-coding RNA (EGUI_LNC024977)
Source: RNAcentral